Molecule: unclassified non-coding RNA, 218 nt
Filed under: Hevea brasiliensis (rubber tree)
Lineage: Eukaryota; Viridiplantae; Streptophyta; Magnoliopsida; Malpighiales; Euphorbiaceae
Source: RNAcentral
GAAAAAAGUAAAAAUCUUGAUGAAGAAACAGAAGCUGCAGCAGGUUAGAAAAAUUGUGAAGCAGCAAGAUGAUGAAAAACCUUGGGGCCAGGACAACCUUGUCAAGGUUGGCUGCAGAUUGAUUCAGAUAUUAAUAGAAACCGCCUAUAUACAGCCUCCAAAUGACCAGUUAGAGGAUUGUCCCCCAGAUAUUCGCCCAGCAUUUAUGCACACCCUCA